Molecule: long non-coding RNA, 1185 nt
Organism: Solea senegalensis (Senegalese sole)
Lineage: Eukaryota; Metazoa; Chordata; Actinopteri; Pleuronectiformes; Soleidae
Exons: 5
Source: RefSeq, a predicted model, not a curated record
UAUGGUGACACACCUGCUCCACAGCAGUGGUUCUUCACAGAUGACCAGACACUACCAACAGGGACCGAGGCCAAAAGAGCCCAGUAGUAUCUGUCUAAACACUGAUACAGCUCUCCCAGAGCUUCCUCCUGUCAUCCAAAGACAUUACUGCGCGAACAAACACUGGCCCAUCCAUCUGUGGGUGACAUGUCGCAGACAGAUGCAGCUCAGUGACUGAAGAUGAAUGGAUAUUUGUGCAUGGACGACCAAGCUGCUCUGGUGUCUCAUAAUCCUCUGAACAUGGACGUCUGCAGUCAAGAUGCUCGUCAUCGUCCCCACAUAAUGAGCUCCAUGUGAUUAUCACGGAUGAUGUGAGCUGUCAGAUCUACACUCUCAUUGUCUCACCAUGAAUCUGGAGCUUCCACUAGAUCAAGUUAUGGCUGCUGAUUUCAAUUCUUGGUUUGUGGGGAUUGAUCACUAUCCUGCUCACCGACUGUCAAAGCAGAGGUGGCCCUGGUUCUGAACAGCAAGGAAAACUACCCGUUUCACACAGACUCUUACACAGAAGGAGAUUUUUUCCAUCCAUAUGUAAAUGGACAGAUACAUCUAACUAGUCUCUGUUUGACUACUGUCACUGCAAAAUUAUAAAUUUCUGAUGUCUCAAUAUUAUUACAGUUCUUUUAAAUAUAAGUAACCAUACAGGGAGUAAGAGAUUCCUUUGGAUUUUUUUGGAGCUAAAACAGAAAUGUUUUUUUCCUGUAUCCUGCUGUUACAGUUUUAAUUGGUUAGCAACACAGAUGUGAGCUUAUUUAGAAAUAAUAGGUUUGGGGUAUGGCAAUGAAGUACAAUGUUAUUGAGCGAUGACUGUGUUAGUCACAAGGAUGACGGAUCCUUUUAACAUGCAAAUGACUGUGAAAAAAAAGCAGCCUAAAGGGAAAAGGUAGAAUCAUAUCCGCAUCGUUGUCAUAUUUCCAAUUCAAGCAACUAUGAAUCUGCUUAAUUUGUGUGUAUCUUAUAUAUACAGGUACUGCAUAUCACAAGAGCAUAUGACGUACAACAUGUUUGAAGAUGUCACUCAGACAACACGCUGCUUGUGUUGUUCACGUAUUAAAAAGAGCAAGCAAUCUGCCUCCACUGGUGCUCGGAGGAUAACUCACUCCAUCAAUUCUUUGGACUAAUCACAAGGUACAAUGAAUAAAUGAUUUA